AUGGCGCGCCUUCUCCUCGUCCUCGUCCUCGCGGUGGCCGCCGCCGUCGCCCAAUCACUGCCCGCGCACGUUUCUGCGGCUCCCUCGCCAUCAUGGUCCUACCGCUGUGGCUGGUGCCCUCGCCGCUCCACCGCCUCCCUCCUCCCUCCCGACGCCGGCAUCCUCAUCGGCGCCGCGUGCGGUUACUGUGACCCGGCGGACCUCGCUGCGGACGGUGGGUUCCACAUCGCGACCGUCAGCGCUGGAUUCUUCCAUAGCGGCCGGGCCUGCGGCGCCUGCUACCAGCUGAGGUGCAGGGACCGGGGCGCGUGCGCGGAGGACGGCGUCAAGGUCGUCGUCGUCGCUGACGUGGCUAAGCCGGCGACGGACACGAACAGGACAGGCGGCAGCCAGUUCCAGCUCACGAAGGACGCGUUCGCAGCCUUGACCGCUUCUCGUGACGAUGGUCAGCUCAGGAGCUUGGUGGACGCGGCCGUCAACGUCGACUUCAGGAGGAUACCUUGCGCGUACAAGAGCAAAAACCUGGCGGUGAGGGUGGAUGAGACGAGCAGCAGGAACAGGGGGCACCUCGCCCUCCGCUUCCUCUAUCACGGCGGCCAGACCGACAUAGUCGCGGUCGAGGUCGCGCAGGCGGCGGCUCUUGGUGCCGCCCAGAGCGCUGCCGCUCCAUCGCCAAUGAACUGGCAGUACAUGACGCGUCACCAGGGGUCACCCGGGGGGUGGCGCACGUCGCGCGCGCCGGCCGGCCCGCUGCAGCUUCGGCUCGUAGUCACCGCUGGUUCCGGCAGCAAGUGGCUGCGCGCCGAAGGGGCGAUGCUCCCCGCGAAGUGGCAGCCUGGCGCGGUCUACGACACUGGCCUGCGCGUCACCGAGGUCGCUGCAAACACCUGCGGCAGCGCCUCGUGCAGCGCCGGAGACGACAACCACGACGACGAGUAG
Molecule: ribosomal RNA, 939 nt
Filed under: Triticum aestivum (bread wheat)
Lineage: Eukaryota; Viridiplantae; Streptophyta; Magnoliopsida; Poales; Poaceae
Description: partial small subunit ribosomal RNA
Source: RNAcentral